AAAAUCCGUUGACUUUAAAAAUCGNGAGGGUUCAAGUCCC
Molecule: transfer RNA, 40 nt
Filed under: Spermatophyta environmental sample
Lineage: Eukaryota; Viridiplantae; Streptophyta
Description: partial tRNA-Leu
Source: RNAcentral